RNAcentral lists this ribosomal RNA (725 nucleotides) under uncultured bacterium. RNAcentral describes it as "bacterial SSU rRNA". It matches the Rfam family "Bacterial small subunit ribosomal RNA", at positions 771 to 1501 of the family's 1533-position model. The record is from RNAcentral.
AACAGGAUUAGAUACCCUGGUAGUCCACGCCCUAAACGACGUCUACUAGUUGUCGGGUCUUAAUUGACUUGGUAACGCAGCUAACGCGUGAAGUAGACCGCCUGGGGAGUACGGUCGCAAGAUUAAAACUCAAAGGAAUUGACGGGGACCCGCACAAGCGGUGGAUGAUGUGGAUUAAUUCGAUGCAACGCGAAAAACCUUACCUACCCUUGACAUGGAUGGAAUCCCGGAGAGAUUUGGGAGUGCUCGAAAGAGAACCAUCACACAGGUGCUGCAUGGCUGUCGUCAGCUCGUGUCGUGAGAUGUUGGGUUAAGUCCCGCAACGAGCGCAACCCUUGUCAUUAGUUGCUACGCAAGAGCACUCUAAUGAGACUGCCGGUGACAAACCGGAGGAAGGUGGGGAUGACGUCAAGUCCUCAUGGCCCUUAUGGGUAGGGCUUCACACGUCAUACAAUGGUACAUACAGAGGGCCGCCAACCCGCGAGGGGGAGCUAAUCCCAGAAAGUGUAUCGUAGUCCGGAUUGUAGUCUGCAACUCGACUGCAUGAAGUUGGAAUCGCUAGUAAUCGCGGAUCAGCAUGUCGCGGUGAAUACGUUUCCGGGUCUUGUACACACCGCCCGUCACACCAUGGGAGCGGGUUUUACCAGAAGUAGGUAGCUUAACCGCAAGGAGGGCGCUUACCACGGUAGGAUUCGUGACUGGGGUGAAGUCGUAACAAGGUAACC